UGAAUACGAGAUGCUACGGCGUCGAAGCAGUCUAUGUCAUACUUCCAAGAAAAGCUUGCACUGUCAUAAACAAAUAAUGCCUGUACCAUAACCGACACAGGUGGGUAGGUAGAGUAUACUAAGGGGCGCGAGAUAACUCUCUCUAAGGAACUCGGCAAAAUGACUCCGUAACUUCGGGAGAAGGAGUGCCUUAUUUAUAAGGUUGCAAUAACAAGACCCAAGCAACUGUUUACCAAAGACACAGGUCUCCGCUAAGUCGUAAGACGAUGUAUGGGGGCUGACGCCUGCCCAGUGCCAGAAGGUUAAAGAAGUUGGUUAGCAUCCGCGAAGCUGAUAACUGAAGCCCUGGUGAACGGCGGCCGUAACAAUAACGGUCCUAAGGUAGCGAAAUUCCUUGUCGGGUAAGUUCCGACCCGCACGAAAGGCGUAAUGAUUUGGAUACUGUCUCGGAGAGGGGCUCGGUGAAAUAGACUUGUCUGUGAAGAUGCGGACUACCUGCACCAGGACAGAAAGACCCUAUGAAGCUUUACUGUAACCUGAAAUUGAAAUUGGACUUUACUUGCGCAGUAUAGGUGGGAGGCUUUGAGAAUAUUCUUGCGGGAUUAUUGGAGCCAUCAGUGAGAUACCACUCUUGUAAUGUUAGAUUUCUAACUUUGUAUCAUUAUCUGGUCAAAGAACAGUUUCAGGCGGGCAGUUUGACUGGGGCGGUCGCCUCCUAAACGGUAACGGAGGCGCACAAAGGUUUCCUCUGAACGGGUAGAAAUCGUAUCUAGAGUGUAAAGGCAUAAGGAAGCUUGACUGUGAGACCUACAAGUCGAGCAGGGACGAAAGUCGGUCUUAGUGAUCUGACGGUGCUGAGUGGAAAGGCCGUCACUCAACGGAUAAAAGUUACUCUAGGAUAACAGGCUGAUCUCCCCCAAGAGUUCACAUCGACGGGGAGGUUUGGCACCUCGAUGUCGGCUCAUCGCAUCCUGGGGCGGUAGUACGUCCCAAGGGUUGGGCUGUUCGCCCAUGAAAGCGGUACGCGAGCUGGGUUCAGAACGUCGCGAGACAGUUCGGUCCAUAUCCGGUGUAGGCGUUAGAAUAUUGAGAGGAGCCUUCUUUAGUACGAGAGGACCGAGAAGGACAUACCUCUGGUGUACCAGUUAUCGUGCCAACGGUAAACGCUGGGUAGCUAUGUGUGGAGUGGAUAACCGCUGAAAGCAUCUAAGUGGGAAGCCCACCUCAAGAUAAGUAUUCUCA
Molecule: ribosomal RNA, 1242 nt
Filed under: metagenome
Description: bacterial LSU rRNA
Rfam family: Bacterial large subunit ribosomal RNA
Source: RNAcentral